GACGUAGGGCGCGAGCGUUGUCCGGAUUUAUUGGGCGUAAAGAGCUCGUAGGCGGCUUGUCGCGUCGACUGUGAAAACCCGCGGCUCAACUGCGGGCUUGCAGUCGAUACGGGCAGGCUAGAGUUCGGUAGGGGAGACUGGAAUUCCUGGUGUAGUGGUGGAAUGCGUAGAUAUCGGGAGGAACACCAGUGGCGAAGGCGGCUCGCUGGGCCGUUGCUGACGCAGAGGCGCGAAAGCGUGGGGAGCAAACAGG
Molecule: ribosomal RNA, 253 nt
Filed under: uncultured bacterium
Lineage: Bacteria
Description: partial 16S ribosomal RNA
Rfam family: Bacterial small subunit ribosomal RNA
Source: RNAcentral